Malus domestica (apple) is the source of this 1810-nucleotide long non-coding RNA. RefSeq lists it as uncharacterized. NCBI's taxonomy places the organism in Eukaryota, Viridiplantae, Streptophyta, Magnoliopsida, Rosales, Rosaceae. The record is from RefSeq and is a predicted model, not a curated record.
CUAUCUUUCUCUCUACAACUCUUUCUCUCUCUCCCUCGAGCUCUCUCUCUCCCUCAAGCUCUCUCUCUCUCAACUCUUAGAUGUCGCAAUUGAUUAAGCAGCGUAGGUCAGUGAGUAGGUCCCUACCAACACCUCCACCACCUACGCCUACAGUCGCCACUGCUCCACUAUCACUAGCCCCGACGUCGAAGGCUAUCCUACAUCCACCCCAAGCCCCGAUGUCUAUAGUGAUUGAGUCAUCUACUUCUCCGAUGACUCAUCCAUUAUUGAGCGCCCAACGGACUCAUCGACAGGCCGAAUUACCGACGAGGUAGAGGAGUCUGCAUCGGCUUCCACCACAUGUGGAGAGGGAGCUAAUACAGGGGCCCAAGUAGACUCAUGGGCACCUCACAACUCACCCGCACCACCCAGGAGCUUAUGAAUAUUACAUGGGAUGCUCGACAUCGGGCGACAUCAACAAAGGAGCAGCACAACCAUUUGGUCCACGACAUUGGCUCUGUUGUGCAUCACCACUGCCCCAUGCAGUGGGAGUUUUGGAGACUUGUCCCACAGGAGACCAAGGAUGCUGUUCUUCAUGAGCUAUCGGUUAGCAAAGUUUAUUUUUCCAUUAUUUUUUAAGUAAAUUGUGAAAAUUAAUAACUGUUAACUUUGAUUAAUUUUUAUCUUAUUCGCAUCAUCAUUAUGAGCUUGAGGACCUUGAUGCCAAUCAAACCAAAUACAUCCAAGAACUUUUCACCGGCCGGUUCACUCAAUGGAAGAGUGACCUCCACAAGUAUUUCUAGAAAUUCAACGAUCCGGCUGUCGCUAUAGCACAUGGGUGCCCCUUAGAGUUGGUGAAGUGCUCUGAAAAUUGGGCUUGGCUCUGCACCCAUUUUCAAGACGAAAAAUACUUGAAAAGAGCCAAGGCCAACACAAUAAAUAGGUCGAAAAAGAAGCUUAUCCACCACUCCGGCUUCCGACGCUUCUCAUAUAGGAUGGAGGAGCGACGUCGGGCUGACGGGGUCAAAGUUUCCUAAGAUUGACACAUUCAAUGAGGUGUACGUGCGGCCUGGUGAUGAGUUGACGAAUGAGAUCCAUGCUACUAUGGUCGAGAUGAAUCAGGUUGUCCUCGAGGAAGUGGCUUCCCAGCUUCCCCCUGACACCACAAUGGAGAAGUUACCCCCUUCCUCGAGGAUGCGGGUUUUCGUAUCAUGACAGACACCAUCAACCAGAAACUCUGUCUUAUGCAGGGGAAGGUGUAUCAAGGCAUGGGAAAUCCCGCCAUCAUGAGAUGGGGGCAUCAUCUUCCACCUCCACCUCGGGACAGGUCACAUUAUUGACGGAGCAAGUAGUGGAACUCCAAUAGCAGGUGGCGGCCCAAAAUCAGUACAUUAUGAUGCAAACUACCCUCAUCGCCACCCAGCAUGCUCAUAUUGCUGCCCAAGAGUCUAGGAUGGCCCAAAUCAUCACCGCGUUUAUGAGGGGAGGCUUCGACAUCCCCGCCACUACACCUCAUACUACUACGCCUUCGACUUCCCAAGCCCUCGACCCAGCACAGCCAACUGCCGAAGCUAACUCUGAUGACUUUUUAUUUUAGUUUUUUUUAAUUAAACCUUCGUACUUUUACAAAAUCUGGGCUUACGAAUCUGUUGAGCCUUUUCGGGUAUAUUGGUUACUUCAGUUUUCCGAAAGUAACACCAUAGGGCCCAUGAAAGCGGUGUCUUAUGUGUCGAUUAUUUUUUAGGAAAAUUAUUUUACCAUCUAUUAUAUAACAUUAUUAUACCUAUAAAGAGAAGGAAAACUUGUGCUUGAAAGCAUGAAAGGGGAAAAA